AGCGUAACAAGGUUUCCGUAGGUGAACCUGCGGAAGGAUCAUUAAAUAAUCAAUAAUCUUGGCUUGUCCAUUAUUAUCUAUUUACUGUGAACUGUAUUAUUAUUUGACAUUUGAGGGAUGUUCCAAUGUUAUAAGGAUAGACAUUGGAAAUGUUAACCGAGUCAUAAUCAGGUUUAGGCCUGGUAUCCUAUUAUUAUUUACCAAAUGAAUUCAGAAUUAAUAUUGUAACAUAGACCUAAAAAAUCUAUAAAACAACUUUUAACAACGGAUCUCUUGGUUCUCGCAUCGAUGAAGAACGUAGCAAAGUGCGAUAACUAGUGUGAAUUGCAUAUUCAGUGAAUCAUCGAGUCUUUGAACGCAACUUGCGCUCAUUGGUAUUCCAAUGAGCACGCCUGUUUCAGUAUCAAAACAAACCCUCUAUCCAACUUUUGUUGUAUAGGAUUAUUGGGGGCCUCUCGAUCUGUAUAGAUCUUGAAAUCCCUGAAAUUUACUAAGGCCUGAACUUGUUUAAAUGCCUGAACUUUUUUUUAAUAUAAAGGAAAGCUCUUGUAAUUGACUUUGAUGGGGCCUCCCAAAUAAAUCUUUUUUAAAUUGAUCUAAAUCAUACCCUAUCCACUCCCUGCC
This 624-nucleotide ribosomal RNA is filed under the name Mucor racemosus. RNAcentral's name for it is "eukaryotic LSU rRNA". The stretch from base 254 to 406 matches the Rfam family "5.8S ribosomal RNA". Lineage: Eukaryota; Fungi; Mucoromycota; Mucoromycetes; Mucorales; Mucoraceae. The record is from RNAcentral.